GGGAAAAAAAAAAAAGACUUCAUUAUCUCUUCUUGAAGUGAUGCCAUAAAAAUUCAGUGAAGCGGAGUUCUAAAGCACAGAGCCACCUCACAGGUACAGAAUUGAUGUGUCAAAAAAAUAUCCCUUACGUUAUUCAAGUAAGAACUGAGAUCAUGUUAAAACAGACUCAAAGGGAAUUUAAAAACAAACAAACAAACAAACCCUAAUACAGACAACGGAAAGUUGGGAAUGCAGAAGAGAAAUUAGCCAAUAGAUAAAGGGUUGGUUAAAAAUCAAAUACUUAUCUGACUCAGACACAGCUUUAAUUUCUCAAGUCAAACAAUUGGAUAUUUUACUAACAGUAUUCUACAACUUACAGAGUUGUAAAGUACCUCGUGACAAUGAAAAGCUCGGGUGCCAUAGAUUAACCAUUGGUCCCCUUUUCUCACCAUAGACCAGGGCAUAUUCAACAUACUAAACGAAAGGUUCCAGAAUUAUUAAGUCACAAGGUCUCAAUAACCUAUUAGCAUGUUAUUAUCAUUGUUCUACUGUAUGGGUAUGUUGUGCUUUUAUUGUCCCUGUUUUAUAAAACAAACUUGGGGGCUGGAGAGAGAGCUAGUGGUUGAAAAGCACCUAGGCUUGCAGAGGACCCAGGUUCAGUUCCCAGUACCCACAGCAGGUGGCUCACGAUCACCUGUAACUUCAGGUUCAGGGUAUCUAAUGCCCUCUUCUGGCCUCUGUGGGCACCAGGCACACAUGUAUACAUAAACACUCAUACACAUAAAAGUAAAAUUUAUUUAAAAGUCUUUAUAAACUUUCAUAAGUAUGUAUUGGUAGAAAACACACAUAUAAACACGUGCACAGCACACACACACACAGUUGUUCCAGGCUAGCUCUAGGGUUUGGGAAUAUAGACCCUGGAAAUAAGGGAGACUUGAAAAUCUAAAAGGAUUUAUUAAGCAGUACGUAGCUUUUCAUUGAAGCUUAUACACACAGAGACACACACAGAGAGACACAUUUGUGUCUGUGGUGCUAAAGAUGGAAGCCAGGGCCUUGGCUCUUAAGGCAAGAGCUUUACUAAACACUAACUUUAUAUCCCCAGCCCUAGCCAGAAAUAUUUUGAUCUAUAUCUGUCUUUCACAAUGUUCUAGACAAGGCAUGCUAUGACUUAUAUUGGCAUCCUUACCAAGAAGUUCAUCUUAACUUAAAUCCGCAUAGUAAAGCAUGAUUGACAAAAACUGCACAGGAGGAUUCCAAACGCUCUGCAAACCUCCAGCACUCUCCCUCCCCGUGAGACACUGCCCUAGAGCACUGGAUCAUGCUAUAGCCCAUGGGUCGAAUCAGGUCACACAGCUAUUUUGUAAAUAUUUUUACUGGGAUACAGCCAUCCCCAUUGCUUAUGUGUCGGACUGGCUGAUUUUGCCCACAAGAGCAGAGAUAAUAGAAACCAUGGCCUGAAGAGCCUAAAGUAUCUACAUUUAACCAUGACCCUCACCAAGAAAACUCACCCAACACCUCUUUUAGGUUCCCAGUUCCCAGGAGUGCUGCCUUUAAACCAGCAGUUUGGGUCUCAUCUGCCAGCCUAUUAGAACUCUCAGUUCUAAUACAAGCUAUAACAGUUUAAUUUGUUGGGCAUAGUAAUUCCAGCUCUGGAACAAGUAGGAGGAUCAGACAUUCAAAAUCAUCUUUAGCUACGAGUAUUUUCCAGGCCAGCCUGCACUAUAUGAGACCUGAUAUUUAAAGUUAAAAUGUUUUAAAUAUAUAUCAGAAACAUCACACAUGGUGGUGCAUCACUAUAAUCACAACACCUGGGAGGCACAGGCUGGCAGAUCUGAGCUUGAGGCUGGGCUGAUAUACAGGAUGAAUUCCAGGACAGGACAGACUGGACUACAAAGAGAAACCCUAUCUGAAAUC
Molecule: long non-coding RNA, 1893 nt
Filed under: Mus musculus (house mouse)
Lineage: Eukaryota; Metazoa; Chordata; Mammalia; Rodentia; Muridae
Description: long non-coding RNA chr17:12771566-12773459
Source: RNAcentral